This 598-nucleotide ribosomal RNA is filed under the name uncultured bacterium. RNAcentral describes it as "bacterial SSU rRNA". It matches the Rfam family "Bacterial small subunit ribosomal RNA", at positions 338 to 950 of the family's 1533-position model. The record is from RNAcentral.
CCUACGGGAGGCAGCAGUGGGGAAUAUUGCACAAUGGGCGCAAGCCUGAUGCAGCGACGCCGCGUGAGGGAUGACGGCCUUCGGGUUGUAAACCUCUUUCAGUAGGGAAGAAGCGAAAGUGACGGUACCUGCAGAAGAAGCGCCGGCUAACUACGUGCCAGCAGCCGCGGUAAUACGUAGGGCGCAAGCGUUAUCCGGAAUUAUUGGGCGUAAAGAGCUCGUAGGCGGUUUGUCGCGUCUGCCGUGAAAGUCCGGGGCUCAACUCCGGAUCUGCGGUGGGUACGGGCAGACUAGAGUGAUGUAGGGGAGACUGGAAUUCCUGGUGUAGCGGUGAAAUGCGCAGAUAUCAGGAGGAACACCGAUGGCGAAGGCAGGUCUCUGGGCAUUAACUGACGCUGAGGAGCGAAAGCAUGGGGAGCGAACAGGAUUAGAUACCCUGGUAGUCCAUGCCGUAAACGUUGGGCACUAGGUGUGGGGGACAUUCCACGUUUUCCGCGCCGUAGCUAACGCAUUAAGUGCCCGCCUGGGGAGUACGGCCGCAAGGCUAAACUCAAAGGAAUUGACGGCUGAGAGNGCGACGACGACGACGAGGGAGAGG